Molecule: ribosomal RNA, 497 nt
Filed under: uncultured bacterium
Lineage: Bacteria
Description: partial 16S ribosomal RNA
Rfam family: Bacterial small subunit ribosomal RNA
Source: RNAcentral
GAUGAACGCUGGCGGCGUGCCUAAUACAUGCAAGUCGAGCGAACAGACGAUAAGCUUGCUCCCUUGCCGUUAGCGGCGGACGGGCGAGUAACACGUGGAUCACCUUCCUCUAUUACUGGGAUAACUACGGGAAACCGGUUCCAAUACUGGAUAAUAUGAUGUACCGGAUGGUUCAAUAGUUAUUGACAGUCUUGCCGUCACAAAUAGCUGGAUCCGCGUCGCAUUAGCUAGUUGGUAAGGUAACGGCUUACCAAGGCUACGAUGCGUAGCCGACAUGAGAGGGUGAUCGGCCACACUGGAACUGAGACACGGUCCAGACUCCUACGGGAGGCAGCAGUAGGGAAUCUUAGACAAUGGGCGAAAGCCUGACGCAGCAACACCGCGUGAGUGAAGAAGGUCUUCGGAUCGUAAAACUCUGUUAUUAGGGAAGAACAGAUGUGGAUGUAACCAUGCACGUUUUGACGGUACCUAAAGAGAAAGCAACGGCUAACUUCGUG